Long non-coding RNA from Alosa sapidissima (American shad), 121 nucleotides. RefSeq lists it as uncharacterized. NCBI's taxonomy places the organism in Eukaryota, Metazoa, Chordata, Actinopteri, Clupeiformes, Clupeidae. The record is from RefSeq and is a predicted model, not a curated record. The transcript has 3 exons.
CUCACUGUGUGUUCACUGUGUGCUCUGUGUUCAAACUAUUUAAUCAUUUGAAUUCUCUUUCAACAUAUCGUCUAUACGUGUUUCCAAAGUUCUUAUUGGGAAAUCUGAUGGUAAAUCCUGG